Molecule: long non-coding RNA, 336 nt
Organism: Xenia sp. Carnegie-2017
Lineage: Eukaryota; Metazoa; Cnidaria; Anthozoa; Malacalcyonacea; Xeniidae
Exons: 3
Source: RefSeq, a predicted model, not a curated record
CCUUGGACGGCAACAAAAAAACAAACAGAUUUACUGAGGUCACAAAUAAUUUCCAUACGGCAUAUUGAAGAGAACAAAAGAUGAAAAGCUUGUAUCUCUUUGUCGCGAUCCUACUUGGGAUCUUAGGAAAUCCUCAGUUUGUAAAAAUCAAAGUGGUUAAAGGAAACGACCCAGGAUUAUGUUAUAAAAAUAGCAGUGAAAAGAUGACGCUGGUUCGUGAUCGACAAAACAUACCUAAACUCUUGAUAUGUUCAAAUGUCAACGGUGUUUUUUCAUGGAGAACAGUAGACGGCUCUAGUUCUCCAGGAGAAUUUUUCAACCCAGUAUACGACUGCU